UACAGAGGGUGCGAGCGUUGUCCGGAUUUACUGGGCGUAAAGGGCGCGUAGGCGGUCAGCCAAAGCCAGUUGUGAAAUCUCCGGGCUUAACUCGGAAAGGUCAACUGAUACUGUGCGACUAGAGUGCGGAAGGGGCAACUGGAAUUCCCAGUGUAGCGGUGAAAUGCGUAGAUAUUGGGAGGAACACCAGUGGCGAAGGCGGCUCACUGGACCGGUACUGACGCUGAUGCGCGAAAGCGUGGGGAGCAAACGGG
This 254-nucleotide ribosomal RNA is filed under the name uncultured bacterium. Its description in RNAcentral is "partial 16S ribosomal RNA". It matches the Rfam family "Bacterial small subunit ribosomal RNA", at positions 524 to 776 of the family's 1533-position model. The record is from RNAcentral.